RNAcentral lists this ribosomal RNA (534 nucleotides) under Ephyrina figueirai. Its description in RNAcentral is "partial 16S ribosomal RNA". It matches the Rfam family "Bacterial large subunit ribosomal RNA", at positions 1825 to 2625 of the family's 2925-position model. The record is from RNAcentral. Lineage: Eukaryota; Metazoa; Arthropoda; Malacostraca; Decapoda; Oplophoridae.
GUCUGUAUGAAGGUAAUAUAAAGUCUGGCCUGCCCACUGAGUUUUAAAGGGCCGCGGUAAUUUGACCGUGCGAAGGUAGCAUAAUCAAUAGUCUCUUAAUUGGAGGCUGGAAUGAAUGGUCGCACAAGAAGUAGUCUGUCUUUUUUAUAAAAAUUGAAUUUAACUUUUAAGUGAAAAGGCUUAGAUUUCUUAGUGGGAAGAUAAGACCCUAUAAAACUUUACAUAGGUAAGGUGGUUUUUAAAUUUAAGUUUAAAUAAAGGUACCUUCACUUUGUUGCGUUGGGGCGAUGAAAAUAUAAGUGUAACUGUUUGUUAAUAAAGAUAAAAGUAUUUAGUAUAGAUUGAUCCUUUAUUAAGGAUUAUAAGAGUAAGUUACUUUAGGGAUAACAGCGUGAUUUUUUCUGAGAGUUCUUAUCGACGAAAGUAGUUGCGACCUCGAUGUUGAAUUAAAAUUUCAUCAGGGUGUAGGAGCUUUGAUUGUGGGUCUGUUCGACCUUUUAAAUUUUACAUGAUUUGAGUUCAAACCGGUGUGAG